UACGAAGGGGGCUAGCGUUGCUCGGAAUCACUGGGCGUAAAGGGUGCGUAGGCGGGUCUUAAGUCAGGGGUGAAAUCCUGGAGCUCAACUCCAGAACUGCCUUUGAUACUGAAGAUCUUGAGUUCGGGAGAGGUGAGUGGAACUGCGAGUGUAGAGGUGAAAUUCGUAGAUAUUCGCAAGAACACCAGUGGCGAAGGCGGCUCACUGGCCCGAUACUGACGCUGAGGCACGAAAGCGUGGGGA
Molecule: ribosomal RNA, 243 nt
Filed under: uncultured bacterium
Lineage: Bacteria
Description: partial 16S ribosomal RNA
Rfam family: Bacterial small subunit ribosomal RNA
Source: RNAcentral